UGCUGCUCAGCAACUUCACCCACAGCAACCAUGACUUUGAUCAGCGUCUUCAUCUGCACACUGGCCCUCUGGACUCAAGGAUCCAGAGGUCAGGGGACUGUGACUCAGACUCCUUCACAGCAAACUAUUGUUCCAGGAAACACAGUCACCAUCAACUGUAGGUUCAGUAGCAGUGUGGAUAGUGGUACCAGUGUACACUGGUACCUGCAGAAACCUGGAGAAGCUCCUAAACUCCUGAUCUAUGAUACUAACAAUUUACACUCAGGAACUCCAGCUCGUUUCAGAGGCAGUGGAUCUAAUACUGACUUCACUCUGACCAUCAGUGGAGUCCAGCCUGAAGAUGCAGGAGAUUACUACUGUCAUUGUUUACAUUAUAUUACUGGGUUCUGGAGUGAUAGCUGGGUGUCACACAGUGUUAUAACAUCGUACAAAAACCUCAGUCAGUGA
Non-coding RNA from Pangasianodon hypophthalmus (striped catfish), 447 nucleotides. The record is from the annotation of a RefSeq genome assembly. NCBI's taxonomy places the organism in Eukaryota, Metazoa, Chordata, Actinopteri, Siluriformes, Pangasiidae.